UUAAUAGAGAGUUUGAUCCUGGCUCAGGACGAACGCUGGCGGCGUGCCUAACACAUGCAAGUCGAACGGGUUUGUGCGAAGCACA
RNAcentral lists this ribosomal RNA (85 nucleotides) under Oscillospiraceae bacterium. RNAcentral describes it as "partial 16S ribosomal RNA". It matches the Rfam family "Bacterial small subunit ribosomal RNA", at positions 1 to 87 of the family's 1533-position model. Lineage: Bacteria; Bacillati; Bacillota; Clostridia; Eubacteriales; Oscillospiraceae. The record is from RNAcentral.